UACGUAGGGUGCAAGCGUUGUCCGGAAUUAUUGGGCGUAAAGAGCUCGUAGGCGGUUUGUCGCGUCUGCUGUGAAAUCCCGAGGCUCAACCUCGGGUCUGCAGUGGGUACGGGCAGACUAGAGUGUGGUAGGGGAGAUUGGAAUUCCUGGUGUAGCGGUGGAAUGCGCAGAUAUCAGGAGGAACACCGAUGGCGAAGGCAGAUCUCUGGGCCAUUACUGACGCUGAGGAGCGAAAGCAUGGGGAGCGAAC
Molecule: ribosomal RNA, 250 nt
Filed under: uncultured bacterium
Lineage: Bacteria
Description: partial 16S ribosomal RNA
Rfam family: Bacterial small subunit ribosomal RNA
Source: RNAcentral